AGUGAGGAAUAUUGGUCAAUGGACGCAAGUCUGAACCAGCCAUGUCGCGUGCAGGAUGACGGCCCUAUGGGUUGUAAACUGCUUUUUUACAGGAAUAAACUUUGCUACGUGUAGCGAACUGAAGGUACUGUAGGAAUAAGGAUCGGCUAACUCCGUGCCAGCAGCCGCGGUAAUACGGAGGAUUCGAGCGUUAUCCGGAUUUAUUGGGUUUAAAGGGUCCGUAGGCGGGCCAAUAAGUCAGUGGUGAAAUCCCAGAGCUCAACUCUGGAACUGCCAUUGAUACUGUUGGUCUUGAAUUUAGUUGAGGUGGGCGGAAUACGUUAUGUAGCGGUGAAAUGCAUAGAUAUAACGUAGAACACCGAUUGCGAAGGCAGCUCACUAAACUAACAUUGACGCUGAUGGACGAAAGCGUGGGGAGCGAACAGGAUUAGAUACCCUGGUAGUCCACGCCGUAAACGAUGAUUACUCGUUGUGCACAAUACAUCGUGCGUGACUGAGCGAAAGCAUUAAGUAAUCCACCUGGGGAGUACGUUCGCAAG
RNAcentral lists this ribosomal RNA (539 nucleotides) under uncultured Bacteroidota bacterium. Its description in RNAcentral is "bacterial SSU rRNA". It matches the Rfam family "Bacterial small subunit ribosomal RNA", at positions 353 to 892 of the family's 1533-position model. The record is from RNAcentral. Lineage: Bacteria; Pseudomonadati; Bacteroidota.